CUGAGCUGGCUGGUGGCGCCUGAGUCAGCUGCAGGGACAGCUUGGCCCUGGGCCCUGGCACAUCCAGUCGGCCCCCUGUGAAGGCAGAGGGGCAGGGAUCCAGGCCCCCCUACCCUUUCUCGGCCUGCUGGGCCACAUUCUACUCACCGUAGCCUGGGAAGCUGGAGGUGGGGGUGGCGGGGUGGGGAUUAGCAUUUGCAGACCCCCUCUUUGUAUCCACCUCUCCGUGCUGUCAGAGACCACUCGUGGCAGAAGGGAAGGGGACAUCGAACCUGACACUUGAAGGCUGCAGAGGCGUUGGUUAUGUGGCAUGGAGCCAGGAAGGCAUGGGAACAGGCAGGGGAAACAGCCUGAGGAAAGGUCCUGAGGGCGAGCCGUUCGAAUCCCGCAUCCCCCUCUGUGACGUGGGACCUCGAGGGCCCCUCACUGCGGAGAGGACGAGAAGUAACUGGAAACAUCUGCUGCAAUAAUAAUAAUAAGCACGGCUCAUUAUCAUGUGCAAAGCAACUUGCACACAUUAUGUCAUUCAGUCUGCACCCCAUCUCUCCUUUCCCAACGAAGAAACGGCCUCAGAGACCGUGUGUGAUUUGUCACAUGCCACGCUAGGCUUUUCUGCCCAGAGUAGGCACUGAAUUACGGGCCUGUCCUGUCCCUGGUAGAUAUAUUCGCUGUUCAUUGCAAUCAAAGCCUGGGAUUUGCUAGGGCCUCAGUCUCCCCGUUGUGCUGUUCGCACAGGGAUCUCUGGGGGUAGGAUAUGAGAUGCUUCUGCAGCAACCCAGCACUCCAGGAAUCUGGAGACCAGGUAGGAAGGAGCCCUUCCUGUGACAGGGCUGGAGUAGAAGCUGCUCCAGUGGCCAGAUCGGCUUCCUCUGAGUUCUUCUGGCCACCUCAUGAUCUGGGCUCAACUCUUGCAGAUUGUCUCUGGAAACUCCAGGAACUCCUGACCAGAAGACCCUGAGCCUCCGGGGUCUCUGGAGGUCCUGCAAUGAUAAGGUCUGGCCACCAGAUGGCGCUACACAGGCCACUGUGCUGUCAAGGAAGAGACUUGUCCUCUGUCCAGUGUCUGUCUUGAGAGUGGCCUCUCUCCUCUGAGUAUAUUCAUUCUUUCACUGCAGCCAAGGAAAUGGAGAGCACAAGGAGAAGAGACCCACCGAGGCCACUUGGCUCCCCCUUUGUGCUUCCCAGGGAUUGUUAUCUUGGUUGAGCAAGGCCACAGGACUGUGGCAGUUGCUGGGUUUCUCCAGACCUCCAUUUCCAGGUGUG
Long non-coding RNA from Mustela lutreola (European mink), 1263 nucleotides. RefSeq lists it as uncharacterized. The transcript has 3 exons. NCBI's taxonomy places the organism in Eukaryota, Metazoa, Chordata, Mammalia, Carnivora, Mustelidae. The record is from RefSeq and is a predicted model, not a curated record.